Molecule: long non-coding RNA, 1638 nt
Organism: Gossypium raimondii (Peruvian cotton)
Lineage: Eukaryota; Viridiplantae; Streptophyta; Magnoliopsida; Malvales; Malvaceae
Exons: 2
Source: RefSeq, a predicted model, not a curated record
GGUCUGCAACGUAUAGUGACCUUGGUGGUGAUAGUCAUGGUUUUUGAGCUAUCAUUUAUGUUGGUUUUAUAAUUUAUAAAAAAUAUUUUUUUUGAAAUUUCUGAUUACCUCUUUUAACUAGCUGAAAAUACGAUAUGACUUACCUUUUAUCAGACUCCAUCAACUCUAGCGACUACACGGUGGAAUGCCUUAUUAUCGACGUUGCAAUUGAUCUUGUCUUAAUGAAUUAAAAGUAUCGUAAGUUCGCAAGUGGUAGAGUGGUAGUAAUUAAAUUCUACACCAAAAUAGAUGAAAACAUAAACAUCAUUAGCCCGAUAAAUAUGAUAUGCCAACCUCUCAAAAGGAUAUGUCACAAUCCUUGUAAUAUGUAAACUAAGAACCAAAAUAAACCGACAAUUUUCGGUGGCUGCAACUGUUCUAAUAAGGUAAAAGAAUCAAUCAUCUCGGUCUAUAUAAUACCCUCCUAGUUAAGUCAUUUCUAAAGAAGCAAGCUAGAGAAAUUAUUAAGCUAAGAAGAGGAAUUGGAGAAGGAAUAAUAAAUGGAAGACAACCAAAGGAAAGGUUUAUUUUUAGCAAUUCUGAUAAUGAUGAUGGUGAUGGUGAGCACCAACAAUCACUACUGUGUAGGUGCCUUAGUAGAGAAGACGAAGAGCUCAAGCUCACACUGCAGUGGCUCAAUUCAGGAAUGCCUUCUCUUCGAGGAAGACGAUGUGUUGGUGGAAUCCGAAAUAAGCCAAGUAUUUCCUGAUCUACCAGCUAAUUCUUAUAACAAUAAAGCUGUAUAUCAAUCCCUUAUUGCCGACGCAAGCUGCGGCCGCAGAUCUCCAGAUAAACGUUGCACUCCAAAGCGCAAUAACCCUAAAAAACAUCAGCCUUGCGGCACAUACACUCGUAGAUGCUAAACCCCAGACAUCGAUGAUUUUCCAAGCAGAUAUAUUCCCUUUUCAGUGAAGUCAUGGCUAUUGCUUCAUGUUAUGACAAUGUUGCAGGCGUUGCUGCAAUUUCCAGGAGUUGUUUGGGGUAAAUUGUGAGCGGAGCCAAUACACUGAUCCCUUUGUUUGAAUGUGUCAGUGGUUGAAGCCCAACCAUUGGAGCUUGGCUCUGAGAUAGUUGAGAGUCAGGGAUGGCAAUAAGUGAUUAUGGAGUGAGACGACCUUGGUCUUAUUAAUGCUUUAAACGGAAAAGGAAAAGUCCCACGGGAGAUGGAUGUGUUAGUUGAUGGUAUUUGGGAAUAAAAAUGAACUUAGAAAAAUUAACAAAGGUUUUAGGGUGUGUAUUAAUGUCACUUUCUUUAAGAAUCUAUUCACCUCAAUUAUAUUUUGAAAUGUAAAAGAGUUGUCGACAAAUAAACCUCGAGGAUGCAAUGAAACUCAAUGAUUGUGUACAUUUUGCAUUGACGUAAAUAGUCCACUGAGCCCUAAGCGGAGCACAGCAAGGAUAUCGAUUUCUACAAAUAAUUUCUGCAGUAAUUUUUUAGAAAACAAUUUAAGAAUAUUAGGAGAUAGAGAAAAAUAAAAGAAACAUUUGAUAUGUUUCUAGUGUACCAGACGAAUGAAACUCUCAUGUAUUUCCAUAGGAACACAACUAUCUAAAUGGAUAUUCACGCAUCUUUUAGUAAUAAACGUAAUUAUUCAAUUA